This is a long non-coding RNA of Ruditapes philippinarum (Manila clam), 1032 nucleotides long. RefSeq lists it as uncharacterized. Lineage: Eukaryota; Metazoa; Mollusca; Bivalvia; Venerida; Veneridae. The record is from RefSeq and is a predicted model, not a curated record. The transcript is spliced from 4 exons.
GUUCCUGACAUGUCAGAACAAAAUUAAUAAAAACUUUUUUGAAAUCUGGUAACCUUGAGCUAUGUUCUCUACCGAUUGAGCUAUUCCGACAAUUAUUACUCACUUUUACAAUUGUUAGUCAAUCAUAUCUGGACAUGCAACAUUCCACUUACCCAUAUAUAUGCCUUUAAAAAGGACUGUUUCGACUAUAAAUACUUGAAAUUAUAAAGAAAUUGCCCUAUUAUUCUUUACAGUCUAUUGUGUGUAGGCUAAAUUUAGGAGACACUUGUGAAAAUAUGCAAUGAAAAAUGAAUAUUUACAUUGAAAAUACAGGAAAUGAAAAUGAACAUUUUACUUUAUCAAUAUUUCUUAAUGUUUCAUUGAAGAAUGUAAUAAAUUAAAAGAAAUAUUGUAUUAAUUAGGAAAAGUUUUUAUUUCAGGUGUGUGAUUAAAGGCUUGUUUGUUAGAUUUCAAUUGUGGCACAGUUGGUUGUUUGCUGAGAAGCUGUGAAACAUAAUUAUACAGGCCAUUAAGUGGUACCAAAAAGAUGGUAAAUUGGUAGUGUUCAGUUCCGGGCAAACAUUUUCUUCAAGAGUUUUUUGUCAGAUUGAUGAAUGUGAAAUUAAGAGGACCCAUUUUGAGAAUGCAUCAAGAGAGAUAAAGUCUAAAAUGUGAUACUGUCAAUGUGACUAACCUUGAAGUAAACAGAUGACACAAUGUUUUUUCAAUGUCAUGGGCAUAUAAUGAAGAGAAAACAGAGAUGCUUGUUUGACAGAUACAGUAAUAGUAGGAGUUAUGAGGGAAGAUAGAUUGCAGUGAUAACUAUAUUGAGGCACCACUUCAUCACCAAGAACAUGAGAUGACUUAUCAAUGUUUUCAAUGUGUUUGAACACCCAUUUUAAAUAAUACAGCUCAGAGUGAAUUUUUCAAAAUAAUUAAUUCUGUUUUCAAAGUUUUUUAUUUAGAUGUUAGUUGAUCUUGUCAAGUACUUCAUUUUUUUAGGGAUGGCAACAAAUACUAAAAUCAAUACUUGAGUACUCGGUCAUUUUUCAG